GACGAACGCUGGCGGCGUGCUUAACACAUGCAAGUCGAACGGAAAGGCCCUGCUUUUGUGGGGUGCUCGAGUGGCGAACGGGUGAGUAACACGUGAGUAACCUGCCCUUGACUUUGGGAUAACUUCAGGAAACUGGGGCUAAUAUCGGAUAGGAGCUCCUGCUGCAUGGUGGGGGUUGGAAAGUUUCGGCGGUUGGGGAUGGACUCGCGGCUUAUCAGCUUGUUGGUGGGGUAGUGGUUUACCAAGGGUUUGACGGGUAGCCGGCCUGGGAGGGUGACCGGCCACAUUGGGACUGAGAUACGGCCCAGACUCCUACGGGAGGCAGCAGUGGGGAAUAUUGCACAAUGGGCGGAAGCCUGAUGCAGCAACGCCGCGUGCGGGAUGACGGCCUUCGGGUUGUAAACCGCUUUCGCCUGUGACGAAGCGUGAGUGACGGUAAUGGGUAAAGAAGCACCGGCUAACUACGUG
Molecule: ribosomal RNA, 468 nt
Filed under: uncultured bacterium
Lineage: Bacteria
Description: partial 16S ribosomal RNA
Rfam family: Bacterial small subunit ribosomal RNA
Source: RNAcentral